AUUGAACGCUGGCGGCAUGCCUUACACAUGCAAGUCGAACGGCAGCGCGGGAGCAAUCCUGGCGGCGAGUGGCGAACGGGUGAGUAAUAUAUCGGAACGUGCCCAUUAGUGGGGGAUAGCCCGGCGAAAGCCGGAUUAAUACCGCAUACGACCUGAGGGUGAAAGCGGGGGAUCGCAAGACCUCGCGCUAUUGGAGCGGCCGAUAUCAGAUUAGCUAGUUGGUGGGGUAAAGGCCUACCAAGGCAACGAUCUGUAGUUGGUCUGAGAGGACGACCAGCCACACUGGGACUGAGACACGGCCCAGACUCCUACGGGAGGCAGCAGUGGGGAAUUUUGGACAAUGGGCGCAAGCCUGAUCCAGCAAUGCCGCGUGCAGGAAGAAGGCCUUCGGGUUGUAAACUGCUUUUGUCAGGGAAGAAAUCCUUUGGGCUAAUACCUCGGAGGGAUGACGGUACCUGAAGAAUAAGCACCGGCUAACUACGUGCCAGCCGCCGCCGUAA
Molecule: ribosomal RNA, 500 nt
Filed under: uncultured bacterium
Lineage: Bacteria
Description: partial 16S ribosomal RNA
Rfam family: Bacterial small subunit ribosomal RNA
Source: RNAcentral